RNAcentral lists this transfer RNA (65 nucleotides) under Cryptocercus punctulatus (brown-hooded cockroach). RNAcentral describes it as "tRNA-Cys". The record is from RNAcentral. Lineage: Eukaryota; Metazoa; Arthropoda; Insecta; Blattodea; Cryptocercidae.
AGUCUUGUAUUCAUUUUAUGAUAUCAGAAUGCAAUUCUGAGGGUACAAUAAUGUUGUUAAGACUU